GAUGAACGCUAGCGGGAGGCUUAACACAUGCAAGUCGAGGGGCAGCACGGGGUAGCAAUACUCUGGUGGCGACCGGCAAACGGGUGAGUAACGCGUAUGUAACCUACCCUGUACAGGGGGAUAACCCGGAGAAAUUCGGACUAAUAUCCCAUAACAAUAUUCAGAGGCAUCUUUGGAUAUUUAAAGUUCCGGCGGUACGGGAUGGGCGUGCGUAACAUUAGCUAGUUGGUAAGGUAACGGCCUACCAAGGCUUUGAUGUUUAGGGGUCCUGAGAGGGUGGUCCCCCACACUGGUACUGAGACACGGACCAGACUCCUACGGGAGGCAGCAGUGAGGAAUAUUGGUCAAUGGGCGCAAGCCUGAACCAGCCAUCCCGCGUGCAGGAAGACGGCCCUAUGGGUUGUAAACUGCUUUUCCAGGGAGAGAAACUUGCGCACGUGUUGCGCAAUUGACGGUACCCUGGGAAUAAGCAUCGGCUAACUCCGUGCCAGCAGCCGCGGUAAAGUAGUCGUG
RNAcentral lists this ribosomal RNA (513 nucleotides) under uncultured bacterium. RNAcentral's name for it is "bacterial SSU rRNA". It matches the Rfam family "Bacterial small subunit ribosomal RNA", at positions 28 to 533 of the family's 1533-position model. The record is from RNAcentral.